RNAcentral lists this ribosomal RNA (308 nucleotides) under uncultured bacterium. Its description in RNAcentral is "bacterial SSU rRNA". It matches the Rfam family "Bacterial small subunit ribosomal RNA", at positions 490 to 793 of the family's 1533-position model. The record is from RNAcentral.
GCACCGGCUAACUCCGUGCCAGCAGCCGCGGUAAGUACGGAGGGUGCGAGCGUUAAUCGGAAUUACUGGGCGUAAAGCGCAUGCAGGUGGUUUGUUAAGUUAGAUGUGAAAGACCCGGGCGUCAACCUCGGAAUUGCAUUUGUAAACUGGCAGACUAGAGUACUGUAGAGGGGGGUAGGAAUUUCAGGUGUAGCGGUGAAAUGCGUAGAGAUCUGAAGGAAUACCGGUGGCGAAGGCGGCCCCCUGGACAGAUACUGACACUCAGAUGCGAAAGCGUGGGGAGCAAACAGGAUUAGAUACCCUGGUAG